GGACUACUGGGGUAUCUAAUCCCGUUUGCUCCCCUGGCCUUCGCGCCUCAGCGUCAGGAACUGUCCAGAGAUCCGCCUUCGCCACUGGUCUUCCUCACGAUAUCUACGCAUUUCACUGCUACACCGUGAAUUCCAAUCUCCUCUCCAGUCCUCUAGCAGAGCAGUAUCGAGUGCAGUUUCAGAGUUGAGCUCUGAGAUUUCACACCCGACUUACCCCGCAGCCUACGCGCCCUUUACGCCCAAUGAAUCCGAACAACGCUUGAGACCUCUGUAUUACCGCGGCUGCUGGCAC
Molecule: ribosomal RNA, 292 nt
Filed under: uncultured Verrucomicrobiota bacterium
Lineage: Bacteria; Pseudomonadati; Verrucomicrobiota
Description: uncultured Verrucomicrobia bacterium partial 16S ribosomal RNA
Source: RNAcentral